Long non-coding RNA from Solanum pennellii, 2799 nucleotides. RefSeq lists it as uncharacterized. The transcript has 4 exons. The record is from RefSeq and is a predicted model, not a curated record. Lineage: Eukaryota; Viridiplantae; Streptophyta; Magnoliopsida; Solanales; Solanaceae.
UCCCUCAUCUUAUACCCUAAACCCAAUUUCAUACUUCUUCCCCUUUCUUUCCCUCGCCAAGAGAGCAUAUGCACGCUGUUGUUUCGAUUCUCGUCGUUUGCAUUGCCGCAAAAGGAUAUUCACGAUAUUUCAGCGCCAUAAGUAUUCCAAGAGGCAAUUUCUUUGCUUAAGGUUUGAUUUUCUUUUACGAAUGAAUUGAAUUGAAUCGUAAGUAGGAUUCUAUCUUGUAUAAAUUGAAGAACCCGCCAACCAACACAUGAAAUUGGAUUCCAACAUAAAUUGUUAUAUGGUUACUUGUUUUGUUUAAUUCGAUUUAAGGAUUCAUUUUAUAGCCACUGAACUCAGAUUUGUUAUUUAAAGUAACAAUCGUAUAUUGUUGAGGAAUUGAUAAAUUGAGUAGCAGUGCAUUGUAAAGAAGAGCUAUAGUCAUUUUUACAUUGUCUUUUAGAUUAGUAUAUGUUUGUUAGUUAGUUACAUAAGUUGGUUAGCUUUGAUUAAUGUAAUUAUCACUUUAGUCAAUAUAUAAAUAGCCUAGUGUACAUAUGUAAACAUACAAUGAAAAUAUCUAAUAAUAGUCAUUUAUAUUCUUUUCUGUAAUUCCUCAAAUUUGCCUCAUCUCUCCAAAAAAUUCUCUGCAAAUUUCAAUGCUUAACAUACAUCAAGAAAAAAUUAUACUCGAGUUCUAUUGUUGCUUAGUGUAGUUUAAGAUGGUUUAUCUUAUAUCAAUACAUUUCUAAAUUAAAAGAGGAUGAGUUUAAAACUUUUAAAUGUGAUUUCGUAACUUUAUCUCACUUUUGAAGUGUGCUGCCAAAAAAAAAAAUUACAUAAUAGUUCGGGCUAACAUUUAAGUUUACUUUCAUGUAUAUUUCAUAGGUAUUAAUUUUAUGGCUAAUAAUAGUGAAUACAAGUUGGAUCCCGGUCUAUUGGAAUUGAAUGUAUUAAUAGGACAACUUACUCAUAGAUCACAAGAUAUAUGGGAAGGAAAUGUUAACAUGAUUCUUAAUACAAGGAAAAAAGAUUGAAAUUUUUGGAAACUAAUAGAGAAAUAUCCCAUCCAUCCACGAGUUCUUGAAGUAAUUAGAUUAUCUGGAUUACAUGGUGUUUACAAAUCUAAUCGACCUGCUAUUGACCAUAGUUUGAUCACUGCACUAGUUGAGCGGUGGCCUCCCGAAACUCAUACUUUUCACUUUAGAACAGGCGAAGCAACAAUUACCUUGCAUGAUGUAAAGGUGUUGUAUGUAUUACUUGUGAAUGGUGAUCCAGUACUUGGUAAUGAAAUGAUAAGAACCAUAGGGGAUUGACAAAACAUUUGUCAAAGAUUAUUAGGUUUUGUUCCUUCUCGUGAAGACUUCAAAACAAAUUCCAUCAAGGUCGCUGCAUUUAAUUCACACAUGUUAAGCAAACCACAAUUUUCGAACAUGGCAACAUAAGAUAUGAUCAAUUAGAAGGCAAGAUGUUACGUUUUCUAGAUGAUUGCAGGUAUGAUGAUGGCGGAUACGUAUGGUGGUUAUUUGAAGCUUAUGUACUUGUUUGUGAUCGAAGACAUCGAUAAAAUUGAAUCUUAUAGUUGGGGGAGUGCGACCUUGGCAUACAUGCAUCAUUUUCUUUGCAAAGCUUCACAGAGUACCCAAAAUGAGAUAGUCGAAUUUUUGCCACUACUUCAGAUUUGGGCGUGGGAGAGAGUCACUAUCCUCCGUCCUCAAAUAGUAGCCCAGAAAGAGAACUAUUUCUCCUGUUGAUUUGCCCAGAGGUCCACAUGUUACUAGAUGGUUUGCGCAUCUUAGUUGGACGAAUACUACCAAGCAUAUAUUGAAAGUUUAUAAGAAUGCAUUUGACUCUAUGAUAGAAGAUCAGUCUAUUUGAAAAUCGUAUUCCGAUGAUUUAAUUGAAGUCUUCCUCUCUAUUGUCAUGCAUGACGAGACAUAUGGCGAGUUAGAGUUUCAAUUUUUUGUUGGGAUGUAGUCGAGGUUCAUUUGUCAGAUCGUGUUAUGAGACAAUUUGGACUACAACAAGCUAUACCAACUCCGUUUCCAUUUGAUUCCAACCACUUUUGUCAUGAUCGUCGGGGAAGACCAAAUACAAAUUGGUAGUUGGAACUUGCACAUUAGUUAUCAUUUUGGAACCAACGUCUCCAAUAUAGUCGUGAUGCACCGGUUAAUAAUGAACCACUUCGCUAUGAUGAUCCAUAUUUUAUUUGGUUCAGCCGCAUUACUCGUCUUGUUAUUGGUAAUCCCAAUUCACGUCCUCAAAAUCAACAAGAAUAUGUGCCUAAUUCGACGUCAUAUGAAACUAUGUGCACGACUAUUCAAGAUAGUGAACCAUCAAGGAAGGAGAAGCGUAAAAUUAAACUUAAGCCUUGUGGGACUGGUACUUUCACAUCUUACGUUUUUUAUUUGGUUUUACUCUCUUUUUGAAUAGUAGAACAUCUAUGUUUUCUUUAUAGGCGGUCACUAUGCUAUCCAACAUGUAAAAAAAACAGAGCAAAGAAUAAGUAAUGAAAAUUGAUGUUGCUGAAAUCUUUUGGUGCUGCUGAAAAUUGCAGCCAGUUUAGUUGAAAAUUUUUGUUGCUGCUGAAAAUUGCGGUCUGUACCGCUAAAAAUUGGUGCUAGUAUUGCUGAAAAUUGGUGCAGCUGAAAAUUGCAGCCACUACUGCUGAAAGUUUUUGUUGGUGCUGAAAAUUGUAGCUAGUACUGUUAAAAAUUGGUGAGGCUGAAAUUUUUUUGUACUGCUGAAAAUCGCCUAGUCCUGCUGAAACUUUUUGUUGUUGCUGAAAAUUUUUGGUUCUACUCAACCUAACAU